Molecule: ribosomal RNA, 301 nt
Filed under: uncultured bacterium
Lineage: Bacteria
Description: partial 16S ribosomal RNA
Rfam family: Bacterial small subunit ribosomal RNA
Source: RNAcentral
CAGUCGCCGCGGGAAUACGUAGGGUGCGAGCGUUAAUCGGAAUUACUGGGCGUAAAGCGUGCGCAGGCGGUUUUGUAAGACAGGCGUGAAAUCCCCGGGCUCAACCUGGGAAUGGCGCUUGUGACUGCAAAGCUAGAGUGCGGCAGAGGGGGAUGGAAUUCCGCGUGUAGCAGUGAAAUGCGUAGAUAUGCGGAGGAACGCCGAUGGCGAAGGCAAUCCCCUGGGCCUGCACUGACGCUCAUGCACGAAAGCGUGGGGAGCAAACAGGAUUAGAUACCCCGGUAGUCCCUGUCUCUUAUAC